This 961-nucleotide ribosomal RNA is filed under the name Latilactobacillus sakei. Its description in RNAcentral is "bacterial SSU rRNA". It matches the Rfam family "Bacterial small subunit ribosomal RNA", at positions 49 to 969 of the family's 1533-position model. The record is from RNAcentral. Lineage: Bacteria; Bacillati; Bacillota; Bacilli; Lactobacillales; Lactobacillaceae.
CUAUACAUGCAGUCGAACGCACUCUCGUUUAGAUUGAAGGAGCUUGCUCCUGAUUGAUAAACAUUUGAGUGAGUGGCGGACGGGUGAGUAACACGUGGGUAACCUGCCCUAAAGUGGGGGAUAACAUUUGGAAACAGAUGCUAAUACCGCAUAAAACCUAACACCGCAUGGUGUAGGGUUGAAAGAUGGUUUCGGCUAUCACUUUAGGAUGGACCCGCGGUGCAUUAGUUAGUUGGUGAGGUAAAGGCUCACCAAGACCGUGAUGCAUAGCCGACCUGAGAGGGUAAUCGGCCACACUGGGACUGAGACACGGCCCAGACUCCUACGGGAGGCAGCAGUAGGGAAUCUUCCACAAUGGACGAAAGUCUGAUGGAGCAACGCCGCGUGAGUGAAGAAGGUUUUCGGAUCGUAAAACUCUGUUGUUGGAGAAGAAUGUAUCUGAUAGUAACUGAUCAGGUAGUGACGGUAUCCAACCAGAAAGCCACGGCUAACUACGUGCCAGCAGCCGCGGUAAUACGUAGGUGGCAAGCGUUGUCCGGAUUUAUUGGGCGUAAAGCGAGCGCAGGCGGUUUCUUAAGUCUGAUGUGAAAGCCUUCGGCUCAACCGAAGAAGUGCAUCGGAAACUGGGAAACUUGAGUGCAGAAGAGGACAGUGGAACUCCAUGUGUAGCGGUGAAAUGCGUAGAUAUAUGGAAGAACACCAGUGGCGAAGGCGGCUGUCUGGUCUGUAACUGACGCUGAGGCUCGAAAGCAUGGGUAGCAAACAGGAUUAGAUACCCUGGUAGUCCAUGCCGUAAACGAUGAGUGCUAGGUGUUGGAGGGUUUCCGCCCUUCAGUGCCGCAGCUAACGCAUUAAGCACUCCGCCUGGGGAGUACGACCGCAAGGUUGAAACUCAAAGGAUUUGACGGGGGCCCGCACAAGCGGUGGAGCAUGUGGUUUAAUUCGAAGCAACGCGAGAACC